Molecule: long non-coding RNA, 692 nt
Organism: Camelina sativa (false flax)
Lineage: Eukaryota; Viridiplantae; Streptophyta; Magnoliopsida; Brassicales; Brassicaceae
Source: RefSeq, a predicted model, not a curated record
GAAGGGGUUUUAGAAUUGUAUCUUAACUAUGUCGUGUCGGUUUGUAAUUGGCUAAGAGAUUUUUUUUUUUUUUUCUCGUGUAUUUCUUUGUCUCUACUAAUGGCGAAAACUCUCCGAGGGACGAUCCGUCGAAUUGAGAGGAGAAUUGAGUUGAAAAUUCGUUUCCAAUAACAGUGAUCAUCUGCUUGUUUCCUCAUGAGAUAAGCGUGUGAGAUUGUAUGAUGUGAGCACCAAUUCGUUGCGAGACGAGUUCUUACAUGGCGGAGCAGUGCUCGAUUGUCGUUUUCAUGAUGAUUUCUCCGGCUUCAAUGUUUUUGUCGAUUAAAAAAUCAGAAGGAUUGUUUUCAAUGAAGAGAAAAGAGGACAUUUUUGGGACGCAUGACAAACCAGUGCGAUGUGUUGAGUAUUCUUAUGCUGCAGGUUGGUAGUAUUAUGAUCUUCCUGGAACCCAACAAGGAAGAUAAUUCUCCAUUGGUACCAACAACUUUUACAAAUGAUGCAUCAAACUGAAAAAUAUUAUGAUCUUCCUGGUUUUGCUGUAAGUUAAGCUUCCUGGUUGUGUUUGUUUGUUGAGAUCCUGCAAUGCUUUUCAAAACUAUUUAUGUUACUAUUUAAGCGUUGUGAUGUUGAAUGGUGAUUUUGUAGAAUAAAUAAACAGUUAUAAUUGAGGUCUCAUAGAUCGAGUCAUGCUU